UCUUCAUUUCGCACACUCUCUCGUCGGUUAGAGACAGGCGAGAGAGCGUGCGAAAUGAGGAGA
Non-coding RNA from Pristionchus pacificus, 63 nucleotides. NCBI's taxonomy places the organism in Eukaryota, Metazoa, Nematoda, Chromadorea, Rhabditida, Neodiplogasteridae. The record is from Rfam.